Molecule: long non-coding RNA, 1715 nt
Filed under: Sorghum bicolor (sorghum)
Lineage: Eukaryota; Viridiplantae; Streptophyta; Magnoliopsida; Poales; Poaceae
Description: long non-coding RNA (SBIC_LNC004479)
Source: RNAcentral
CGGUUCAAUUAUUUUGUGGCCGGUUCGAUUUGUCCGGUUCAAAACAAUCGAACCGGCGGUUCAACCGGUUCCUAACGGUUGGACCAUUGAACCAUUGAACCGACGGCCUCGCCGGUUGGAUUUCCGGUCCGGUCCUAAAAACUAUGCUUAGUAUACAUGUAAUCUAUAAUAGAUGUGAUGUUCUAUAAUAUAUGUAAUGAUGUUCUAUGAUGUAUUUAGUGAUGUUAAUGUUCUAUAAUAUAUUUAAUGAUGUUUUAUGAUGUAUUUAGUGAUGUUAAUGUUCUAUAAAUAUAUUUACGAUAUUUAAAAAGUAACCCUUUGACAUUAUUUGAAUUUUUCUCCAUUUUGUGUUUUUAUUUUUUUUCUUAUGCUUUUUACUCUAGAUUUUUUAUUAUUUUUAUCUAUGUCAUGUAUUUAUGUAUUUUUAUGUAUAUUGUAAUAUCAGUUUCAUAAACCUAAAACCAAAAUACUAUUCUUCUAAAUCGAUAACAUUUUUUUACAAAGACUGAACAUUGUCUGUUGAACCUAGAAUAUUGUUUCUACUUAAUAAAAGAAAAUAUUUUAUCUUUAUAAGAUAAAUAUUCAUUAAUAAAAUUUUAUCUAAAUAUAUCUAUGUGUGAUCUUGUUUUGAAGGAUUUGUUAUAAAAAAUUUAAUGGUGCAAUUAGAAUUUAAUUUAUAUCUCAAGUUUAGGAGUUAUGACUUUUUUAAUUCGCUAAAACAAUUUUGCAUGCAUAGGUGAGUGGGGCCUAGGUUGAUAGGAUAGCGUGUCAUCGUGCAGUAAAAAAAGGGAUGAAAGUUGUGGAUAAGUCCUCUCCAUAAUUUUUAGUUGUAGAGAUAAAUAUUAAUUAAUUAAAUUUUAUCUAAAUAUAUCUAUGUAUGAUCUUGUUUUGAAGGAUUUGUUAUGAGAAAUUUAAUGGUGCAAUCGGCAUUUAAUUUAUAUCUUCGGUUUAAAAGUUAUAACUUUUUAAAUUCGCUAAAACAAUUUUGCAUGUAUGGGUGAGUGGGGCCUAGGUUGAUGGGAUAGCCUAUCAUGGCUAAAAGGGAUGAGAGUUGUGGCUUCACCAUGGGUGUGGUAGAUGGGUCAUUUCCAUAAUUUUUAGUUGUAGAGAUUAUGUAUAUUGUAAUAUCAGUUUCAUAAACCUAAAACCAAAAUACUAUUCUUCUAAAUCGAUAACAUUUUUUUACAAAGACUGAACAUUGUCUGUUGAACCUAGAAUAUUGUUUCUACUUAAUAAAAGAAAAUAUUUUAUCUUUAUAAGAUAAAUAUUCAUUAAUAAAAUUUUAUCUAAAUAUAUCUAUGUGUGAUCUUGUUUUGAAGGAUUUGUUAUAAGAAAUUUAAUGGUGCAAUCAGAAUUUAAUUUAUAUCUCAAGUUUAGGAGUUAUGACUUUUUUUAUUCGUUAAAACAAUUUUGCAUGCAUAGGUGAGUGGGGCCUAGGUUGAUGGGACAGCGUGUCAUUGCGCACUAAAAAAGACCACCAAAGGGAUGAAAGUUGUGGAUGGGUCCUCUUCAUAAUUUUUAGUUGUAGAGAUAAAUAUUAAUUAUUAAAAUUUUAUCUAAAUAUAUCUAUGUGUGAUCUUGUUUUGAAGGAUUUGUUAUGAGAAAUUUAAUGGUGCAAUCGGAAUUUAAUUUAUAUCUUCGGUUUAAAAGUUAUGACUUUUUUAAAUUUGCUAAAACAAUUUUGCAUGCAUGAGUGAGUGAGGCCUAGGUUGAUG